AAAUUUAAGCUUAGUGUUUUGUGAUAUAGACUAAGUUUGAAGUAUGUUGUUUGUAGUUAAGAUUUGGAAUUAAGUAUAUGGUUUGAGAUUAACCUUUGAAAAGAUUAAUUUUAUAGUUUAUAUUUAAGAUUUGGGUUUCAUAUAAGUUUGAGAAUGAAGUUUGAAACUAUUGAGUUGAAGAGUGAAUGUUUAUAAUAUAGGGUGAUAAGUUUAAGAUUUGGUGUUUUAAAGUGUUGAUGUUUAUGUUAAAUUAUUUAUAAAUUUUGGAAGUUUAAAUAAGUGUUGGAUAUUAAAUCCAGGUAAAUUAGGUAAAUCUUAAUCAUAUAUAUUGUUUUGUAGGUAGAUAUAAGUUUAGGGUAUAUGUUUGGGGUUUAGGGUAUAUAAUUAAGGUUUUCGACAGAGCCACGGAAAAAUAGUGGUUACACCGUGGCUAACACUCUAGCCACUGUAAUAGAUGUGG
RNAcentral lists this long non-coding RNA (460 nucleotides) under Brassica napus (rape). RNAcentral describes it as "long non-coding RNA (BNAP_LNC001854)". The record is from RNAcentral. Lineage: Eukaryota; Viridiplantae; Streptophyta; Magnoliopsida; Brassicales; Brassicaceae.